CAAAAACCGAUGAUUAAGAAGAGUAGGCAUGGAAACACGCUUCACAGAGAGCCGCCGAUGGUGGGAAAGCGGCAGGGGUGGCCAUGUUGAAUGGACUUAUGAGGGCAGGACGAACGGUGAACCUAGUAGUGCCUGACGGGAACUCCACCCGUUAUCAAGGGAGCAUGUAUGCUUGUACAUGGAAUGAGUGGACGCGUCAUGCGUCAAUUUGGGUGGUACCGCAGAAGCAAAGGCUUUUGUCCCAGUU
RNAcentral lists this non-coding RNA (247 nucleotides) under Anaerotruncus colihominis. RNAcentral's name for it is "T-box sequence". It matches the Rfam family "T-box leader". From Rfam's summary of the family: Uncharged tRNA acts as the effector for transcription antitermination of genes in the T-box leader family. T-boxes are found upstream of many aminoacyl-tRNA synthetase genes and some amino acid biosynthetic genes usually in Gram-positive bacteria. The record is from RNAcentral. Lineage: Bacteria; Bacillati; Bacillota; Clostridia; Eubacteriales; Oscillospiraceae.